RNAcentral lists this long non-coding RNA (129 nucleotides) under Polistes fuscatus (common paper wasp). RNAcentral's name for it is "uncharacterized LOC122520231". Lineage: Eukaryota; Metazoa; Arthropoda; Insecta; Hymenoptera; Vespidae. The record is from RNAcentral.
UUGGACCCAGCACCACUUUGAAGAUAAAGUGCUCACAUUUUCAGCGCAUUUAAAAAAUUUCAAACUUCCCGCAUUGCGAUUGUCGACUAUGAAGACGACGACGAUGAGGAAGAGGAAGAGGAAGAGAAA